This 970-nucleotide long non-coding RNA is filed under the name Equus caballus (horse). Its description in RNAcentral is "lncRNA (ENSECAG00000049862.1)". The record is from RNAcentral. Lineage: Eukaryota; Metazoa; Chordata; Mammalia; Perissodactyla; Equidae.
GAAUUUCCACAUAAUAGGAAUGUUCAAACAAGUCAAUAAAACUAAACUUCGGAGCCAAGCAGUCACGGUGGGAAAAUGACCACUUAAAGAUUGCCAAGAGAAAAGACAAGCACGUUGAACUUCAAAUGGUGAUGGAGAGACCAGGCACGGGGCAAGGCCUAGGAGAGUGGUUACCCAUGGGGUUUUCAAGUUAACAGUCUUGGAUCAAAAGAACUAGGGAAAGGGGGAUCAGAAACACACAGAGGAAAAGGUGAUGGGAAGAAGCAGCAGACAGAUUUGAAGAUGCUGGCUUUGAAGACUGCAGUGAUGCAGCCACAAAUCAAAGAAUGCUGGCCGCCAUCAGGAGCUGGAGGAGUCUAGGCGAAAAAGAACCUUCCACUAUCUCUUACUGUGAAGCUCAUUACUGGACCUUUUACAAUCUGUGGAAUCCAAAUGAAGCAAGCACCACCAGGUCUCAGAAGGGAGUGCAGCUCUUCCUAAUAAGAUUUCAAUCAGGCAAUAUAAAAUCUGGAGCCACUAUGUAGAGACAGCUGGUAAUAGUAAAGCAGCCGCAGAAGAAAUUGGAGUAAAAAGAUGCGAAGAGGCCAAAUCCUGAUGACAUUUGCUGAACUGUUGAACCGUUUGGUCUAGCCAGCGCUGCUUCAGGUUUUCCAAGUUUAUAAGCUGGUACAUUUCAGUUUUUAGAUACUUGCAACCAAAAAAUCCUAAUAUAACUACCAACAGAGCAUCUGGUAUACUGGAAAACAUUCACUGAACUAUUAAAAGGAAUCCUCACAAAGUGAUAUUUGUCCAAGUGUCAAAGUCCUAAAACUCAAAUGGAGACGACGAUCAGCUUUCACACUCUUCGCUUCAGUUUUAAGACAGUACUUGGAAUGUGUUUGCUAAAGACAGACAGAACUUUCUGUUCUCCUCUAGCACAUAACACAAUCAGAGGGAAGAUGCAUUGUGGUUGAAUAAUGCAUGAGGUAGC